This 177-nucleotide small nuclear RNA is filed under the name Cervus elaphus hippelaphus. Its description in RNAcentral is "U1 spliceosomal RNA". It matches the Rfam family "U1 spliceosomal RNA". From Rfam's summary of the family: U1 is a small nuclear RNA (snRNA) component of the spliceosome (involved in pre-mRNA splicing). Its 5' end forms complementary base pairs with the 5' splice junction, thus defining the 5' donor site of an intron. RNAcentral also lists the same sequence under 1 other name. Lineage: Eukaryota; Metazoa; Chordata; Mammalia; Artiodactyla; Cervidae. The record is from Rfam by way of RNAcentral.
AUACUUACCUGGCAGGGGAGAUACCAUGAUCACGAAGGUGGUUUUCCCAGGGCGAGGCUUAUCCAUUGCACUCCGGAUGUGCUGACCCCUAAAAAAAAAUUAAAAAAAAUAAAAAAAAUAAAGUAUAUUUAUAUUUAUUUUCUCUUCUUUCUUAUAUAAAUGUUAGCAUGCUAUAUA